This is a long non-coding RNA of Triticum aestivum (bread wheat), 4688 nucleotides long. RefSeq lists it as uncharacterized. The transcript is spliced from 2 exons. The record is from RefSeq and is a predicted model, not a curated record. Lineage: Eukaryota; Viridiplantae; Streptophyta; Magnoliopsida; Poales; Poaceae.
CGUUCCCGUGUAGGGAUUAGCCACCCACUACGCGCCCGCCCCGUGCUCGACGUGCAUUCCUCAGCCCCCGCGCCCCCUCCGCUCUCUCCUCCCCCUCCUCGUCCCUGUCCCAACCCUAAUCCUUUUCCCUCUCCACCCCGCAGCCGCCCCCUAGCUCCUCGUCCCCUUCACUCAGUCCAUCCCUCCUCAUCCCAGAUCCAGCGGAUCCGAGGCGUGCAGACACGGAGGCGAGUUUCUCUGGCGCCGGUGGCAACCUGCAAGCAAAGGGCGGCGGCGGCGCUCGAUUUGAUCUGCAGGAGAGAGAGAGAUGGAGAGGAGGGACGCCACCAUGGGAGAACAGGGCCAACUUCGUGGUGGGCAUGGAGGCGCAGAGGAGGAUGGCGAUGGGGGAUGGGAGCAGAGUAGCAGGACUUCCAGGCGGUGCUCGCGUCAUGGUGGAGUGGAGGAGCUCGUCGUCCAUCAUCACAAUCCACAAUCUAGAUCUGAGAUAGAAAAGAAGAGAAAGAAUCUUGUGGAAUUUCAGAUCUGAGAUAGGAACGGGGAGAAAGAAUCUUGUGAAAGAGCCUGACGAAAAAGAAAGGGGUGAAUCACCACUUUCUCCCAUUCAUGUUUGUUUCUGCAUUUUAUUUUUAAGAUGCAGGUUGGCCAACUGUAACAAUAGAAAUAUAUGUGCAAUUUUUGUUUGUGUACUUCAAUAAAAAUAUAUUUUCACUUGACCUCGAGGGCGGUUGCAUCCAGUUAUUGUUUCCGGGAGAUUUAUUGGUGAAGGUCUAAAUAUUUUAAGAUAUAUUGACGAGAUAUCACUCAUGAAGGAAUGCUCAAGGGCAUAAGAUCUAAUGUUCUUCAUGUUAUACAGUCAUCUGGUAUAAAUUGCUAGAGUAGAUAAGAAACAGAUUUCCAACAUAAUAAACAGCUCACAUUCCUUGGUAUUGGCAUAUGGUUCUGAAACUUAAUAUGCACAAUAGAGUAUGUAUUGCAGUCUGGAUUAUAUCAAAGUUUGGUUCAAAAUGAACAAACAUCAGCAUUGUAUCCGUACUGGAUGCAAGUGAUUUGAAUUUUUUCAGUCAGUUAACAAGCAGUUUUCCAAUUAACAAAACGACAGUGUAGAAGCUCUUUUACUAAUGAGAUACAUAAGGUGCAUAAUACUGGUUCAAACAGCAGCAGUUUUUCAACCAGUUAACAAACAGUAGAAGUUUUACUACUGAGAUAAGCACCAGUUUUUCAGUGUACAAACAACAGCAGUUUUACUACUGAGAUAAGCAGCAAUUUUUCAGUCAGCUAACAAGCAACAGUUUUGCAGUAACAUCUUUCAUGUAUACUUCCAAUGCAUAAACAUGAGCAGAGAUACGCUACAAUUUAGGCAAAGAAUGAAUCAAAAAAUUGCAGAGAAGCAGCAAAAUAAGUUCCUUCUUUGAGAGAAUGCAAAUCAGAUAUGUUUGUUUCAGGGUUCAGACUUCAAGAUAACUAAAAUGCAUCCCCUAACUUUUUUUUAGGCAAGAUCCAGUUUCAUUUCUUAUAUUUGUGCUUCUUCAUUGAGUGAUCUCCAACUUUCUAUUGUUUACAAAUUCCAAAUAGAGCUCCUGGUUUGCUGUGUUGAUUGGUACCAUACAUAAGUUGAACUUUGUUUUCAAAUGGAAGGACCUAAUAAUCUACUUCUUAUAUUAUGGGACGGAGUAGUAACAUGUAUGUGUGGCGGCACAAGGAGCAUUUCCUUCUGAAAAAAUAAUAUUAAAGAUAAGUCAAUGACACAAAGUACUGAAUAAAUCAAUACUUCUAAUGAUCUAUAUGAUACAUACUUUCCAUGUUACCUCUACUAUAUAGUUUUACAGUACAAUGUCACAUUUCUGAUCUGUAGUGUACCUCAGUUACUAGCAUGAUAUAAAGUUUAUGGAUAAUUGCCAACAGAGUUCUCAUAUGUUUCUAUGUAUCUGAAUGUUCACAUUCAUCAAGUUUAAGCUUUAUGUAUAGCUUAUGUCUUUGAAGUUAAGCAGUCACACAGUCGUAGGUCCACCGUUUCAUGAUUUUUAAUUUGCUAACUGGGUAAAAGAUUCCUUGUCCUUGGUGAGAUACAUGAAUUCACAUUGUUUCGUACCAGAUGUACGAAGAACAAAGAUAUCUUUCUUUAUCUUUAUUUUCCUCGACUACAUAUUAUUUAACCGUGUCAUGUUUAUAACCUACUUGACAUCGAUACGGUUCUAUGAGAGGUCAUUGCUUAUGCAUCAGUCCUCAAGGUGGAUGUUGUUCAUUUAGAUAUUACAUUUUGUUGCCAUGUUUCCACAUUAGUCAAAAGUGUUCAUCUCAAUAAUUUAUUAAGAGUGGCUUCGAAUAAUAUGGCAUCAAAACGUUUGUUUUCUCUCCAACCAAUAAUGAAAUGAUAUCUGUGCAUAUAAAACGGCUACCAAUUCUUGGUUUUUAUUAGCUUCUUGAAAAAGGGGCGCAACAGGUCAAUGGACUAUUGUAUUGCUGAUGAUAAUGUUGUUUCGUGUAGAAAGGAAUUUUCUCCUUGCUUUCAUAUGUCGAUAUCAACUCACUGCUUGAUUCAGGUGCUUUUUCGUGUAGAUAGGGUGACAGGAAUAUUCCUGUUAUAUAUUUACCAGUUAGCACACAUAAUCUGGUACUCUGAUUUCUUUGACACUUUUCUCUUCACGAUGUAGUCAAGGCAAAAGGCAUUAGGAGACCUCCAAUCUGCAGAAUGGCAUGGUAUGAAUACAUGUGACACCCGCUGUUCAUUUCACUGCUUUUAUAAAAUUUAUGCAUUCUUCCUUCACUUUUUUGUACUUACAUGUUUUGCGCUGUUGAGUUAACUCAGUUGUAGAUAACAAUUUUGCUCUGUAUUCACUUUAGCUAACAUUUUUUUUGCUACUGUUAAAACAUAUACUGCUUUUUAAGGGAAGCAUAACUAUUGUUUUAUUUUAUUAACCCUAGAUGUUCCUGAACUCUCCGACGGCCCGAACCGGCAGGCAGAAAAAAAAGAGAACACGCCCAAUCCAGGAACCACCCUCCACCUUCCCCGAACCACUCGAAUCCCGCACCUCUCACUCUCUCCCGAUCCCCCAUGGCGCCGCCGCCGCUACCUGCCCCACGCCGUCGUUGCUACGACCUGCCCAGACCACCGCCUCGCCAUCUGCCCCGCACCGCCCACCACCGCAAUUCAGCCAUCAAAAAAUCGGGCGCCGCCACCCGUUUCUCCUACCGCUGCUCGCCUUCUAGUACCAUGUCCCUCUCAAGUCUCCCCCACGCAGGCCCCGCCGUGCAUCCGAUGACCCUACAACAACCAUGGAUGCGGGAGGAGAGGUCGCCGGAUCCCAGUGCGCUGCCGCCUACCCAGGCGCCUCCACUGGGCACCGCUACCUCGCGGCCAAGCGCAGCAACCAACCGCCGGAGCACGCACCAUCCGACGCCCUCGCGUCAGCGCACCACCCCUGCUUCCUCUGUAGCCAUGCAUCACGCGUUGAGCACCACCAGCAGGUUCCGUCCCCCUCCUCCUCGAUGUGAAGGGGAGACGACCCCCAACUCCGGCGAGCCCAGAAAAUGACCUUCCCCGUGGCGCAUGUCUGAACUGCAACCUCGAUCUUCUUCCUCUGGAGUUAAAGCAACUGAUGCUAGCAAUUUGUUGAUGCUGCUCCUCCUCCUGCUCGUGUAGGCCGAGCUGCUCCCUCGAGCUUUGCUGCCCUUCUGCCUCCAUCCUCUCCCCACGAACUACCAGAACCAGAGCUGAGGGAAGCUGCAGUAGCAGCUGGGAGCAAGUCGCUCAAAAGAAUUGGAAGAUGCUCGUCUUUUUAGCCGCGAAAUAUGCAGUGUCGGUAUGGUCGACAAAAAAAUGGACAUGACCCUGGAGUGGCUUCUUACCACUACUACAACGACCUUGUUGUUAACAUCAUUCGUCCACUCUACACGUCAGAAGUUAUCUUCUUCCCACAAGACAUUCAGCCAGUGUGUUUACUGUUCUUGUUGUGCUUCUACCACCAGAUUGCUCUCUUCCCCCUUCGGCCCUUCGUGUGGUGAUUUUGCUGCACCUGUGACGAGGAACAAGCAAAUUCUCGCAAGCACACUUCAGCUCCGAAUGAAACCUGACGCACGAUCCGCUAGUCAACAGUGAGGAGACUGAAAGAAGUAGCAUCAGAGAGGAAGGUAAGUCCAGAGGCACUGAUGUCUUAAAUCACACCGUUUUGAAACAAACCGACGAUCAUUACCAAGCUUUCUUCAAGGAAAAAGAACCAGGACAAGACCGAUAUUGAUGGAGCGUUUUUGACCAUAAGUUGUUUCUCUAGUUUAAAUACUGAUGACAGCCAGUCUCCCUGCUUCUUGCCCCAUUUUGUUUGGUGAUGUGUAUCUAAUGUGUACGACAUUCGUAAGAUCAGCUCCCCCUUUUAGCAAGUUACUAGAAGCCGAGAACGGCUGUAGUGCUUAGAUUGUUCUUGUUCUGAGUUGGAGAAGCUAGAGGCACCAAGCAAAAAUGUGGGUCACUCUUUUCGGUGGCAAACAACGUUGCCAGUGAGCAAUAAUUUUUGAAGGGAAGGAACCACAUUUGAGUAUCCGGUUGAUAAAUUUGCAAUUAAGCUAGCGUCUGGCUGGCUGCUGGUGGAAGGCUUGCGAUUCUAAAGAAUCUUUGAUGCAAUGUUGUUUGCCCUGACUGUUCGCUUCCCUGACUUAGCCAACGGCUGAAAUAAAAGACAUUUCAUUUCCAA